AAAGGAAUAAGCUAUAAAAGCUAUAGAGCUCAUACCUCUUUGAAAGUAAAUCUUUCCUUUA
This 61-nucleotide transfer RNA is filed under the name Demodex folliculorum. RNAcentral's name for it is "tRNA-Met". Lineage: Eukaryota; Metazoa; Arthropoda; Arachnida; Trombidiformes; Demodicidae. The record is from RNAcentral.